RNAcentral lists this ribosomal RNA (865 nucleotides) under uncultured Planctomycetota bacterium. Its description in RNAcentral is "bacterial SSU rRNA". It matches the Rfam family "Bacterial small subunit ribosomal RNA". Lineage: Bacteria; Pseudomonadati; Planctomycetota. The record is from RNAcentral.
UGCAGUCGAACGAGAACCCCUGGGCAACUGGGGGGGAAAGUGGCGAAAGGGGCAGUAAGGCGUGGGUAACCUACCCCGGGGACCGGGAUAGCCAUCCUAACGGGUGGGUAAUACCGGGCGAUGUAGCCGAGGCGCAUGUUUUGGCUACGAAAUGAGUUUCGCCUCGGGAGGGGCUCACGUGGUAUUAGCUAGUUGGUGGGGUAACGGCCUACCAAGGCAAAGAUGCCUAGCGGGUGUGAGAGCACGACCCGCGCCACUGGCACUGAGACACUGGCCAGACUCCUACGGGAGGCUGCAGUCGAGGAUCUUCGGCAAUGGGCGCAAGCCUGACCGAGCGACGCCGCGUGCGCGAUGAAGGCCUUCGGGUUGUAAAGCGCUGUCGAGGGGGAGGAAAGCCCGCAAGGGUCUGACCUAUCCCUGGAGGAAGCACGGGCUAAGUUCGUGCCAGCAGCCGCGGUAAGACGAACCGUGCGAACGUUGUUCGGAUUCACUGGGCUUAAAGGGCGCGUAGGCGGAUUGCCAAGUCAGGGGUGAAAUCUUUCGGCUCAACCGGAAAACAGCCUUUGAUACUGGCAGUCUUGAGGGAGGUAGGGGCAUGUGGAACUUCCGGUGGAGCGGUGAAAUGCGUAGAUAUCGGAAGGAACGCCGGUGGCGAAAGCGACGUGCUGGAUCUCUUCUGACGCUGAGGCGCGAAAGCUAGGGGAGCAAACGGGAUUAGAUACCAGAUGUGUCCCCCACAGGGGUGACCCUGUGGUGCGCAUCCGGCUAUAUCGGGGGAACUCUCAGCAGAUGAGACAAUCCCGACGAAGUCCUGCCCGCGAGGGCGGUGACCCGCGAGAGACUGUACGCCGGACACCCUUCUUAA